Molecule: ribosomal RNA, 450 nt
Filed under: uncultured bacterium
Lineage: Bacteria
Description: SSU rRNA
Rfam family: Bacterial small subunit ribosomal RNA
Source: RNAcentral
AGGAUGAACGCUGGCGGUCUGCUUAACACAUGCAAGUCGAACGGAGUAGCAAUACUUAGUGGCGGACGGGUGAGUAACGCGUGAGAAUCUACCUUCAGGACGGAGACAACAGUUGGAAACGACUGCUAACCCCCGAUGUACUGAAAAAGGCAAAUAUUUAUAGCCUGAAGAAGAGCUCGCGUCCGAUUAGCUAGUUGGAGAGGUAAAAGCUCACCAAGGCGACGAUCGGUAGCUGGUCUGAGAGGACGAUCAGCCACACUGGGACUGAGACACGGCCCAGACUCCUACGGGAGGCAGCAGUGGGGAAUUUUCCGCAAUGGGCGAAAGCCUGACGGAGCAAGACCGCGUGGGGGAAGAAGGCUCGUUGGGUUGUAAACCCCUUUUCUCUGGGAAGAACACAAUGACGGUACCAGAGGAAUCAGCAUCGGCUAACUCCGUGCCAGCAGCCGC